This 438-nucleotide ribosomal RNA is filed under the name uncultured bacterium. RNAcentral's name for it is "partial 16S ribosomal RNA". It matches the Rfam family "Bacterial small subunit ribosomal RNA", at positions 339 to 795 of the family's 1533-position model. The record is from RNAcentral.
CUACGGGGGCUGCAGUGGGGAAUAUUGGACAAUGGGCGCAAGCCUGGUCCAGCAAUGCCGCGUGAGUGAAGACGGCCUUAGGGUUGUAAAACUCUGUCGCUAGGGAAGAUAAUGACUGUACCUAGUAAAGAAGUCCCGGCUAACUCCGUGCCAGCAGCCGCGGUAAUACGGAGGGGACUAGCGUUGUUCGGAAUUACUGGGCGUAAAGAGUUCGUAGGCGGACUGACAAGUUAGAGGUGAAAUCCCAGGGCUCAACCCUGGAACUGCCUUUAAAACUGUCAGUCUAGAGACCGGAAGAGGUUAGGGGAAUACCUAGUGUAGAGGUGAGAUUCGUAGAUAUUAGGUGGAACACCAGUGGCGAAGGCGCCUAACUGGUCCGGUACUGACGCUGAGGAACGAAAGCGUGGGGAGCAAACAGGAUUAGAUACCCUGGUAGUC